Molecule: ribosomal RNA, 492 nt
Filed under: uncultured bacterium
Lineage: Bacteria
Description: partial 16S ribosomal RNA
Rfam family: Bacterial small subunit ribosomal RNA
Source: RNAcentral
AGUGAACGCUGGCGGUAGGCCUAACACAUGCAAGUCGAACGGCAGCACAGUAAGAGCUUGCUCUUACGGGUGGCGAGUGGCGGACGGGUGAGGAAUACAUCGGAAUCUACUUUUUCGUGGGGGAUAACGUAGGGAAACUUACGCUAAUACCGCAUACGACCUACGGGUGAAAGCAGGGGAUCUUCGGACCUUGCGCGAUUGAAUGAGCCGAUGUCGGAUUCGCUAGUUGGCGGGGUAAAGGCCCACCAAGGCGACGAUCCGUAGCUGGUCUGAGAGGAUGAUCAGCCAAACUUGAACUGAGACACGGACCAGACUCCUACGGGAAGCGGCAGUGGGGAAUAUUGGAGAAUGGGCGCAAGCCUGAUCCAACCAUACCGCGUGGGUGAAGAAGGCCUUCGGGUUGUAAAGCCCUUUUGUUGGGAAAGAAAAGCAGCAGGUUAAUACCCCGCUGUUCUGACGGUACCCAAAGAAUAAGCACCGGCUAACUUCGUG